CUCAACCUAUACGGGGAACAUUGUCAUUAAACAAAAGACAAUAACAUCCAACUAUGCCGUGCUUGUUACUAUAAUUUGUUGUGUCGAUCAUGGCUAUUGUCAAAACAGUUCAAAGUGAGUUUAUGGAUACAUUCGAAAAACAUAUGGAUAGUCACAGUUUAAUUCAUGAUCAUCAUAAUAAAAUGACAUGGAUGACAUUGAAGUCAGAAAAAGAUUAUUACAUGCCGAAAUGUAAAGCAUGGCUGAACAGAUUUGUGAGAUCAUUUCAUUUUUAUCCGAAAACGUUUUUCAAGACGUAUUUAUUGGACCCUGAGGAAUAUAACAAAUUUGUGGAUCAACAGCAAUCAAAACAAUCCAGCUUUUUAAAGGAAUCUAUGCAGUUUGAGUGGUGUAGAUUAUCAAGUUUUGCAUCUUAUCCAAACACAAAUAUUUCAGUAAUAAGGCUGGCCAAAGCUGGUUAUUACUAUGAAGGACACGGAGACGAAGUAAUCUGUAAUUUUUGCGGGUCAAAACAACAACACUGGAAAUCAACAGAUGAUCCAAAAGUAAUUAACAAAGAAAAGGCACCAGAAUGUCCUUUUGUUAUAAAACAUUUAAGUGCUACUUCAAAACAACAUCAUGUGUGGACUAUUUCUGCAAAUGGUGGAGCAGAAUCUUCCACAGGCGCUUGUGGUAAUGCAGCAGAUGCCGAAAAUUUAUCAGUAGUCAAUGAGAAACAUUGUAAAUCUGUAGAGGAACAACGUGCAAUUGAAGCAAGAGUUUAUCAUGAAAAUACGUUUACAGUUGACAGAAAUCAUGAACAUAUCGUUACAGUUGACGGAAAUCAUGGACAUAUCGUUACAGUUGACAGAAAUCAUGGACAUAUCGUUCCAGUUGACAAGGAUACAAUGUCAUCUCGAAAUAGUGAACUAACCGAAAACCAAGUGAAUAAUGUUUCUGAUAGGCAGACGGAAAGCAGUGAAGCCAUUUCAUCACAGAGAAGAACGAACCAGACGCAAACCGUGUACUCUAGAAACGACACAACUGGUCUCAUUCGUAUACCAGAUACACAUGUUGCUCCACAACGAACAUUAACACAAACAGUUGUAGAUUCGGUGCGAUCUUCGGCUUCAGAUUCAGCAUCAAUGAACAUCGGCAUUUGUCUUGAAAAACCAAAAUAUCCUAAAUAUGCUAUAAAGACAACUCGAUUUUCAUCAUUUACUAACUGGCCUUUAUACAUGUCUCAAACACCAGAGGAUCUGGUAAAUGCAGGUUUCUUUUAUACUGGUACCGAGGAUCACUGCAGAUGUUUCUUUUGUGGGGGUGGUUUAAGACGAUGGGAGGAAGAAGAUUUGCCUUGGACAGAACAUGCUCGAUGGUAUCCCAUGUGUCCAUUUGUCAUACAAUGUAAGGGGGGAACGUUCAUUGCUGAUGUACAGCGAGGGACAAAUCCUGAAACUGCUGAAAAUGUGACAGAAAACAAACAGAAGAAAGCGUCUAUUGGAAUAGAUGGUUAAAUAAAUAACCCAGCAGUGCAAACUAUUCUUGAAUUUGGAUACGAAUCUGAUGUUGUAAAGACAGCUUAUACACGAUUGAAAGAAUCUGGAAUACAUGAUAUUACGGCUUCACUUUUGCUAGAUACCAUUUAUGAAAAAGAAGCGAGUGAAAAUCACCAUACCACCUCUGACCUGACAAUUCCUAGUCAUAAUACAACUCCAGAAAAAGAAGCAGACGAUAAAGAACAUUCCAACAAAACCCCAG
Molecule: RNA transcript, 1740 nt
Organism: Mytilus californianus (California mussel)
Lineage: Eukaryota; Metazoa; Mollusca; Bivalvia; Mytilida; Mytilidae
Exons: 4
Source: RefSeq, a predicted model, not a curated record